RNAcentral lists this ribosomal RNA (465 nucleotides) under Vreelandella stevensii. Its description in RNAcentral is "partial 16S ribosomal RNA". It matches the Rfam family "Bacterial small subunit ribosomal RNA", at positions 338 to 795 of the family's 1533-position model. The record is from RNAcentral. Lineage: Bacteria; Pseudomonadati; Pseudomonadota; Gammaproteobacteria; Oceanospirillales; Halomonadaceae.
CCUACGGGGGGCAGCAGUGGGGAAUAUUGGACAAUGGGGGGAACCCUGAUCCAGCCAUGCCGCGUGUGUGAAGAAGGCCCUCGGGUUGUAAAGCACUUUCAGUGAGGAAGAACGCCUGGUGGUUAAUACCCAUCAGGAAAGACAUCACUCACAGAAGAAGCACCGGCUAACCCCGUGCCAGCAGCCGCGGUAAUACGGAGGGUGCGAGCGUUAAUCGGAAUUACUGGGCGUAAAGCGCGCGUAGGUGGCCUGAUAAGCCGGUUGUGAAAGCCCCGGGCUCAACCUGGGAACGGCAUCCGGAACUGUCAAGCUAGAGUGCAGGAGAGGAAGGUAGAAUUCCCGGUGUAGCGGUGAAAUGCGUAGAGAUCGGGAGGAAUACCAGUGGCGAAGGCGGCCUUCUGGACUGACACUGACACUGAGGUGCGAAAGCGUGGGUAGCAAACAGGAUUAGAUACCCUUGUAGUC